AACAAACCCCCGUAGCCAGCACCUGGCUGGAGAAACGCGACAGGAUCAGCACCCAGGAGCCCCUCCCAGCCCCUCCCCGGGAGAACGCCCUCUGACUUCGGGCCUCUCGGGUUUGGGGUGUUUCCGUGCUUUCUGGGAACGGCUGCUUCCAGCCCCGCGCGCCGUCGCGUGUCGGUUCCCUGCUUUCGCCCGGCUCCAGCUGGGGCCGUUUAGCGCGGGGCCGCGGAACCUUCCCGCCCGUCUGGGUGAUGGGAAGUCCCUUUCUGUCACUCGGCGUUGGUGCGCGUCUCGGCCAGGUUUGCGGUGACAGCCGCGGCCUGGCGGCUCGCACAAGGGAGGCGCUUCGUGAACGGUGGUGACACGACCCCGGGGCAGGGCCAGCCUGGGGCCCACCUGCCCGCCCCGCGAGGCCAGCCCGCCGCUGACCGGGAGCCUGGCUUCUACUUUUCUUUGGGACACAAAACAUUCUUCCAGACCUGCGACCUGGCUCAUCACAAGACACGUCCGCCACCUCCUACAAAUACCAGCUUUGCACCGUUUUGUGGAGCACGCUAUCUGUGUCGCCCAGCAGAGCAUUAGAUGGAUGUUUAGUUGGCUCCGAAGACGGCUGCAGCCCCAGGGCCCAGGACGAGAGCUGAAUAAACUGAGAUCCAGAGAGGAACUGAAGGACCGAGGCCUCGGCUGCUGGGAUUCCAUGGGCUUCCCCAGUUUUCCAGGGAAACUCGCGAAGGUGGACCUGAGAUCUAUUUCAAGCUGGUUCCCAGCCUCGCUGUGGGACCACCAGGAGCUCACCUGCCCUCUCUGGGCUCCAGUCUCGCCUCUCUCAGGGAAUCAGAGGAGUUGGAUUAGAAAUAGCCAGUAUCAGAGCUCAAGACAACUGACCAGUGAUUGAGGAAUUUUAGUUCUCCAUUACAAAGACUCAGUGAUGCUCUCCCAUUCCGUAUGUACACAGCCCACAGAACACAACAUGCAGUUGCCUGUGCCUACGCAUCACACACCCUCUGGGACGCAGGCAUGGCAGACACCCGGCAUCAAUGCGCUGCUUCAGGGCGGUCCGUCCCAGGGGCGGCUUUCAUGGGCGUCUCUGGAGAAAUCUACUCCGUGGGGUUCGUGGGCUUAGGACCUUGGAAAACUUUCUGAAAUGUCGUUGACCAGCUUGGCUGACAUGUUAAUUUGCCUCCUGUUUCCAUUUUCUUCAUCUUGAGCAGCUCUCUCAGAUACGAUUAGUCAUGAGCCCUUCUCACACCUCUCAGAUAUUCUUUGUGGAACUGGGUCCAAAGUCUUUUUUGCAGGGCAGCAUACCAUUUCCUUAUAGCCCCCAAAACACUGCGUCCCAAGCUAUCUCAACAUUGGCUUGAUGCAAGGCUCAGUUAUUCUCUGGAUCUGCAGGUUGACGAUGGGUCUGCCAAGCUAGGCUGGGCGUUGGGGGGCGACGCGGCUCUGCUCCCUCGGUCUCUCAUCCCCUCUUCCUCCUCUCAGGCCAGCGGGCUGGUCUGGCCCGGGGUGUUUUUCCCACAGUGAUGGUGAGGAGAGCGGCCUGAGUGCACACCCUCUUCCAGUCUGGGCUAACAUCCCGCUGACCAGAGGAAGUCACAUGGCAAACCCAGAAUCAGAAGGUAGAGAAGUGUAUUCCAGGGUUAGAAGUGAGGGAAGAGAGUGAAAUGCUGGAAGAAUAAUUAUUGUCCGUGUCUACUAUUAUAAUUUAUAGGGUGUGGUGGUUU
Molecule: long non-coding RNA, 1721 nt
Filed under: Equus asinus (donkey)
Lineage: Eukaryota; Metazoa; Chordata; Mammalia; Perissodactyla; Equidae
Description: lncRNA (ENSEASG00005031973.1)
Source: RNAcentral